UGUAUUAACACAUUCUUCAUUUAUAUGAUAGAUGUUUUAUUGUGCUUAUGGCUUCACUAUUGAAAGUUUAUUUUCAUGCUUUCACCUGACUUACUCCAACACCUUCUUGCAUCAAGGUGACUCUCACAUUGCCCUACCAUCAGAGUCAUAAAGCCAAAUGGACAACACCAUCGUAUUUGCAAGGCUCAAGAAACAAGAAAAAUAUCUUUCCUUUCAUCAAUUUUGGCGAAUAUUCAUCAUCACAGCCUAGUUUUUGGCUCUAAUCAGGUGCCAUCAAACGCCCCUUAUUCUCUGCUCUUAGUUCCAGCGGCCUUCAGAAAGGCUCCCACAUCUUCUGCGCAGCCUCUUCAUUUUCCACGCCCUCCAUACAAUAACCUUGGGUCUGUAUUGUCACUAUCUAAGGAGAUCCACGUGAAUUAUAUCUCAUGCUCAUCCGUCUCUUCUGGCAGCGUAGAUUUAAAUUCUAGUUUGUUAAUUAUUGUGUUUAUUUAACACAGUUUCAAAAGAAGUUUUUGAAGGAUACACAAAUCCCAAACAGUAUCAAUUUUAUUUUCGUGGAAUCUACAAAUCUCUGAAUGAACAACGCCGAGGGUCUCAUCUUCAAAAUCAACAUCUCUUCUUCAAACAACUUCCACACUCAGUCCCUAUCAUUUUGCAGGUCAACCGCCACGCAAUGGAGUAUCCUCUACCAAGGUGCCACAUCACCUCGUUAUCUGCAGUAAAAAAUGAUAACUCUCAAAGCAACCUUGGCGCCUCUAUAUCAACCAUUUUACACGUUGCAAGCAACAUAGAUUUGACAUCUAACAGGCAUUUUGGGGUCUCUUUGGCUUCCACUUAUCUGUCACUUUGUUGGUUCUCUCCCUGACUUGUACAGCAACAUUUUUUUUUUAAUGAUGUUUGGCAUUUGUUGUUUGUUACAGUUAUAAUGCCCAAGCAAUUAUAAAUUUAUAACUAAUAGCAAUAGAUGUACAUGCUAAGAGGUUAGUUAACCACUCAAACCUCUACCGGUCAGAGACAACCUUUAUGUCAAAGUCGAUUACUCGUCUCAGUCAAAGCGUCCAUAAAAGAGGGGAUUUUAUCCUUUUCAUUAUAGCUUGUAAAAGGGUUUUGCCAUAACUUGCAAACGAAUGGGCAAGUUGACAGAAACCUCAUUCAGUCCCGAUUUCAACGAAUGGUUGCACAUGCAGUUGUAGUUAAAAUAGGUUAAUUUUAUGAUAAAUUAUUUUCUAUAA
Long non-coding RNA from Cryptomeria japonica (Japanese cedar), 1232 nucleotides. RefSeq lists it as uncharacterized. The transcript has 2 exons. Lineage: Eukaryota; Viridiplantae; Streptophyta; Pinopsida; Cupressales; Cupressaceae. The record is from RefSeq and is a predicted model, not a curated record.